UUGAACGCUGGCGGCAUGCUUUACACAUGCCAGUCGAACGGUAACAGGCCGCAAGGUGCUGACGAGUGGCGAACGGGUGAGUAAUGCAUCGGAACGUGCCCAGUCGUGGGGGAUAACUACUCGAAAGAGUAGCUAAUACCGCAUACGAUCUAUGGAUGAAAGCGGGGGACCGUAAGGCCUCGCGCGAUUGGAGCGGCCGAUGUCAGAUUAGGUAGUUGGUGGGGUAAAGGCUCACCAAGCCAACGAUCUGUAGCUGGUCUGAGAGGACGACCAGCCACACUGGGACUGAGACACGGCCCAGACUCCUACGGGAGGCAGCAGUGGGGAAUUUUGGACAAUGGGCGCAAGCCUGAUCCAGCAAUGCCGCGUGCAGGAAGAAGGCCUUCGGGUUGUAAACUGCUUUUGUACGGAACGAAACGGCUCUGGUUAAUACCCGGGGCUAAUGACGGUACCGGAAGAAUAAGCACCGGCUAACUACGUG
RNAcentral lists this ribosomal RNA (481 nucleotides) under uncultured bacterium. Its description in RNAcentral is "partial 16S ribosomal RNA". It matches the Rfam family "Bacterial small subunit ribosomal RNA", at positions 30 to 507 of the family's 1533-position model. The record is from RNAcentral.